CGGUGGGCUAGGCAGGGGGUUAGGGGUCCCCGUUCCGCAAAUCCUCUUUAUGGCGGGCCGAAUGCCUGGAUAACCCAUCCAUUAUAGGGUGAACCCGCUCCAAAGCUGAGACCCUCUGUCCCCAUCGAUGUCUUCCCUGGUGAACCGGGUCAGGCCGGAAGGAGCAGCCCUAAGCCUUCGAAGACAUGCUUUGGGGGCCGCAGAGGCGAGCAGAGGAGUGGAUGUAGCCCUAUGGUGGAGAGGUGAACCAGGAUGCCCACCA
Molecule: signal recognition particle RNA, 262 nt
Filed under: Microcaldota archaeon
Lineage: Archaea; Nanobdellati; Microcaldota
Description: Candidatus Micrarchaeota archaeon (hot springs metagenome) signal recognition particle sRNA
Rfam family: Archaeal signal recognition particle RNA
Source: RNAcentral